Girardinichthys multiradiatus is the source of this 70-nucleotide small nucleolar RNA. RefSeq annotates it as small nucleolar RNA SNORD58. NCBI's taxonomy places the organism in Eukaryota, Metazoa, Chordata, Actinopteri, Cyprinodontiformes, Goodeidae. The transcript has a single exon. The record is from RefSeq and is a predicted model, not a curated record.
UGGCUGUGAUGACUCUUAGGACACCUUUGAGUUAGCCGUGAAAAUAACUUGAUGUAAAAACCUGAGCUAC